GACGAACGCUGGCGGCGUGCUUAACACAUGCAAGUCGAACGGAAAGGCCCUGCUUUUGUGGGGUGCUCGAGUGGCGAACGGGUGAGUCACACGUGAGUAACCUGCCCUUGACUUUGGGAUAACUUCAGGAAACUGGGGCUAAUACCGGAUAGGCGCUCCUGCUGCAUGGUGGGGGUUGGAAAGUUUCGGCGGUUGGGGAUGGACUCGCGGCUUAUCAGCUUGUUGGUGGGGUAGUGGCUUACCAAGGCUUUGACGGGUAGCCGGCCUGAGAGGGUGACCGGCCACAUUGGGACUGAGAUACGGCCCAGACUCCUACGGGAGGCAGCAGUGGGGAAUAUUGCACAAUGGGCGGAAGCCUGAUGCAGCAACGCCGCGUGCGGGAUGACGGCCUUCGGGUUGUAAACCGCUUUCGCCUGUGACGAAGCGUGAGUGACGGUAAUGGGUAAAGAAGCACCGGCUAACUACGUG
This 468-nucleotide ribosomal RNA is filed under the name uncultured bacterium. RNAcentral describes it as "partial 16S ribosomal RNA". It matches the Rfam family "Bacterial small subunit ribosomal RNA", at positions 28 to 507 of the family's 1533-position model. The record is from RNAcentral.